UACGUAGGUUGCAAGCGUUGUCCGGAUUUAUUGGGUUUAAAGGGUGCGUAGGCGGUCUUAUAAGUCAGUGGUGAAAUACGGCAGCUCAACUGUCGAGGUGCCAUUGAUACUGUAGGACUUGAGUACAGACGAGGUAGGCGGAAUUGACGGUGUAGCGGUGAAAUGCUUAGAUAUCGUCAAGAACACCGAUAGCGAAGGCAGCUUACUAGGCUGUAACUGACGCUGAGGCACGAAAGUGUGGGGAUCAAACAGG
This 253-nucleotide ribosomal RNA is filed under the name uncultured bacterium. RNAcentral describes it as "partial 16S ribosomal RNA". It matches the Rfam family "Bacterial small subunit ribosomal RNA", at positions 524 to 776 of the family's 1533-position model. The record is from RNAcentral.